AGGGGAGUAGCUCAAUUGGCAGAGCACUCGUCUCCAAAACGAGCGGUUGCGGGUUCAAGUCCUGUCUCCCCUGCCA
RNAcentral lists this transfer RNA (76 nucleotides) under Chloroflexota bacterium. RNAcentral's name for it is "Chloroflexi bacterium (groundwater metagenome) tRNA-Trp". It matches the Rfam family "tRNA". Rfam says of the family: Transfer RNA (tRNA) molecules are approximately 80 nucleotides in length. Lineage: Bacteria; Bacillati; Chloroflexota. The record is from RNAcentral.